GACAGAGGUGCCGAGCGUUAGGCGGAAUCACUGGGCUUAAAGCGUGUGUAGGCGGAUGCCUAAGUACUUUGUGAAAUCCCACGGCUUAACUGUGGAACUGCUUGGUAUACCGGGUGUCUUGAGCCACUUAGGGGCGACCGGAACAAACGGUGGAGCGGUGAAAUGCGUAGAUAUCGGGUGGAACGCCGAUGGUGAAAGCAGGUCGCUGGGAGUGUGCUGACGCUGAGACACGAAAGCCAGGGGAGCAAACGGG
This 253-nucleotide ribosomal RNA is filed under the name uncultured bacterium. RNAcentral describes it as "partial 16S ribosomal RNA". It matches the Rfam family "Bacterial small subunit ribosomal RNA", at positions 524 to 776 of the family's 1533-position model. The record is from RNAcentral.